Molecule: ribosomal RNA, 478 nt
Filed under: uncultured bacterium
Lineage: Bacteria
Description: partial 16S ribosomal RNA
Rfam family: Bacterial small subunit ribosomal RNA
Source: RNAcentral
GACGAACGCUGGCGGCGUGCUUAACACAUGCAAGUCGAACGGUAAGGCCCUUCGGGGUACACGAGUGGCGAACGGGUGAGUGACACGUGGGUGAUCUGCCCUGCACUUCGGGAUAAGCCUGGGAAACUGGGUCUAAUACCGGAUAGGACCCUGGGAUGCAUGUCCUGGGGUGGAAAGCUUUUGCGGUGUGGGAUGGGCCUGCGGCCUAUCAGCUUGUUGGGGGGGUGAUGGCCUACCAAGGCGACGACGGGUAGCCGGCCUGAGAGGGUGACCAGCCACACUGGGACUGAGAUACGGCCCAGACUCCUACGGGAGGCAGCAGUGGGGAAUAUUGCACAAUGGGCGCAAGCCUGAUGCAGCGACGCCGCGUGAGGGAUGACGGCCUUCGGGUUGUAAACCUCUUUCAGCACCGACGAAGCGCAAGUGACGGUAGGUGCAGAAGAAGGACCGGCCAACUACGUGCCAGCAGCCGCCGCCG